RNAcentral lists this transfer RNA (66 nucleotides) under Dreissena polymorpha. It matches the Rfam family "tRNA". Rfam says of the family: Transfer RNA (tRNA) molecules are approximately 80 nucleotides in length. Their secondary structure includes four short double-helical elements and three loops (D, anti-codon, and T loops). Further hydrogen bonds mediate the characteristic L-shaped molecular structure. tRNAs have two regions of fundamental functional importance: the anti-codon, which is responsible for specific mRNA codon recognition, and the 3' end, to which the tRNAs corresponding amino acid is attached (by aminoacyl-tRNA synthetases). tRNAs cope with the degeneracy of the genetic code in two manners: having more than one tRNA (with a specific anti-codon) for a particular amino acid; and 'wobble' base-pairing, i.e. permitting non-standard base-pairing at the 3rd anti-codon position. The record is from Rfam by way of RNAcentral. Lineage: Eukaryota; Metazoa; Mollusca; Bivalvia; Myida; Dreissenidae.
UUCUUAAUAGCUUAAAUGAAAGCAAUGAGCUUUUAACUCGUAGAUAGGAUAUAUUCCUUUAAGAAG